This 378-nucleotide unclassified non-coding RNA is filed under the name uncultured Rickettsiales bacterium. RNAcentral's name for it is "contains 16S-23S intergenic spacer region". The record is from RNAcentral. Lineage: Bacteria; Pseudomonadati; Pseudomonadota; Alphaproteobacteria; Rickettsiales.
UCCUGCUUAUCACAGGCAGUUUCCUUAGAGUUCCCAACUAAAUGAUGGCAACUAAGGACGAGGGUUGCGCUCGUUGCGGGACUUAACCCAACAUCUCACGACACGAGCUGACGACAGCCAUGCAGCACCUGUGUUCCUCCCACCCGAAGUGAAAGAAUCCAUCUCUGGAUCCUAAAGAGGACAUGUCAAGGCCUGGUAAGGUUCUUCGCGUUGCCUCGAAUUAAACCACAUGCUCCACCGCUUGUGCGGGUCCCCGUCAAUUUCUUUGAGUUUUAACCUUGCGGCCGUACUCCCCAGGCGGAAUGCUUAAUGCGUUAGCUUCGUCACUGAAACCGUAGGUCCCAACAACUAGCAUUCAUCGUUUACAGCGUGGACUAC